Molecule: ribosomal RNA, 497 nt
Filed under: uncultured bacterium
Lineage: Bacteria
Description: partial 16S ribosomal RNA
Rfam family: Bacterial small subunit ribosomal RNA
Source: RNAcentral
GAUGAACGCUGGCGGCGUGCCUAAUACAUGCAAGUCGAGCGAACGGACGAGAAGCUUGCUUCUCUGAUGUUAGCGGCGGACGGGUGAGUAACACGUGGAUAACCUACCUAUAAGACUGGGAUAACUUCGGGAAACCGGAGCUAAUACCGGAUAAUAUUUUGAACCGCAUGGUUCAAAGGUGAAAGACGGUCUUGCUGUCACUUAUCGAUGGAUCCGCGCUGCAUUAGCUAGUUGGUAAGGUAACGGCUUACCAAGGCAACGAUGCGUAGCCGACCUGAGAGAGUGAUCGGCCACCCUGGAACUGGACCGCGGUCCAGACGCCUGCGGGAGGCAGCAGUAUGGAAUCUUACGCAGUGGGCGGAAGCAUGACGGAGCAACGGCGCGUGAGUGAUGAAGGUCUUCGGAUCGUGAAACUCUGUUAUUAGGGAAGAACAUCUGUGGAAGGAACUGUGCCCAUCGUGACGGUACCUAAUCAGAAAGCAACGGCUAACUACGUG